CACAAAUAAUAGAAAGACUUCCAGAAGUUUUAGAGAGAGAGAGAAGAGAGAUACGGUGGAAGGACCAUCUUUUCUGGUGGUGAACCCGGCUGCGCACGAUAGCGCCUCUCACUUCCGACGCAUAAACGACUGCCAUGGUGGUGGUGAGUUGUGGAGCUGUACUUCGGAAACAAACCCGGGCCGGUCAAUGAACCCGGUUCAAGGCGUUUGUGGUGGUGGAUGAUGGUAACAGGCACGUGGGUUUGGGGGUGAAGUGUUCGAAGGAGGUUGCGAUUGCUAUUAGGGGUGCGAUUAUUCUAGCGUGUAUUCCGGUAAACUAUGACGAGUCUCCGGCGAAGAUCCGUGUAAAGAAUUUUGACAGUUGAUAUCUAUUGAAACCAACAGUUCAAAGAGGCAAGGUAUGAAGAUUUGACUCAAGUUAUUGGUUUUUGAGCUGAGUGGGGGUUGCUACAAUUUAGUAAGGUUAUCUUAGAUCAUGUGCAAACAAAAUGUAAACAAAUAGUUAUACAAGGGUACACUGAUCCACAUGUCAUAUCCGACCCAAUUGAAGCAAUAAGUCAUGCUACAAAGCUUUUGCGGCUUCAGCUGAACAACCGGGAACACAUACAACCGUGCAAAUCAAAACACGUGACAAGGCCCACUUCUUUUUAUCUUCAAGACUUCAAUUAUGUACAGUAUAGGAAUCAAGUCGAGACGGGCUCAAGCACGAGGUGUUAACGGGCCAAGAGGAAGCAAGGGAUCGGAUAUGAACACGGAUGCAUGAGGAACGAGUACAUCGGAUUCUUACGAAAUUUAAGCCCAACCCGGAAUAAGAGGAUGAGUGAUACACGGACUUCUUCUGCUACUUAGGAAGUGAAGCGGACGUAGAUCGAGUCAAGAGCAAGGAUUGCACGGAUAGAUCGAUCAUAUAGUUGAAAUAUAUAACGUCUAGAAAUGUAAAUUUUAGUAUGAAUGUUGUGAAUUAUUUUAUAGAACGUUUAACAUUUUAGCUUUUGGAACCUUCUCGAAAGUAAUGUCGUUAAUAAGGAAAGAAAUUUUAAAGCUCUU
This 1047-nucleotide long non-coding RNA is filed under the name Helianthus annuus (common sunflower). RNAcentral describes it as "hypothetical non coding rna". The record is from RNAcentral. Lineage: Eukaryota; Viridiplantae; Streptophyta; Magnoliopsida; Asterales; Asteraceae.